RNAcentral lists this long non-coding RNA (308 nucleotides) under Fukomys damarensis (Damara mole-rat). RNAcentral's name for it is "lncRNA (ENSFDAG00000027393.1)". Lineage: Eukaryota; Metazoa; Chordata; Mammalia; Rodentia; Bathyergidae. The record is from RNAcentral.
GUGGGCGGCGGGGCGUCUGCUCCCUGGCUCUCGGAGUGCCCCCGCCGAGUGCCACUGCACGAAAACCCCGCUGCACAGGUCUUGCUGAGUUUGCGGGUGCUCUUAAAAAUGUUCUUCUCUUCACCCCUGAUUUUUUGGUUCAAGAGCGCACAGCAGAGCCUGGCGGAGAGAAGGAAAAUCCACCCUGUGACUUAGGAAACCGAACUGAGAAGAGCUGUGGAUUUUGUCACCAUCUGGCCUGUUCCAAGUUCAGACAAACCUUACUCCGUGAGAGUUGUAGUAAGAAAUAAACUGUCAAGACAAUCCCC